RNAcentral lists this ribosomal RNA (708 nucleotides) under eukaryote marine clone ANT37-12. Its description in RNAcentral is "SSU rRNA". It matches the Rfam family "Eukaryotic small subunit ribosomal RNA", at positions 462 to 1175 of the family's 1831-position model. The record is from RNAcentral.
AGGUAGUGACAAUAAAUAACAAUGGCGGGCCUAUACAGGUCUGCCUUUUGGAAUGAGAGCAAGUUAAAUCGAUCAUCGAGGAUCAAUUGGAGGGCAAGUCUGGUGCCAGCAGCCGCGGUAAUUCCAGCUCCAAUAGCGUAUAUUAAAGUUGUUGCAGUUAAAAAGCUCGUAGUUGGAUUUCUGGCUGGGCAUGUGGGUCCGCUCUUUGAGUUGGCACCAUACAUGUCUGGCCAUCCUUUGGGAGAGCCACAGUGGCAUUAAGUUGUUGGUGUGGGGAUCUCAAUCCUUUACUGUGAAGAAAUUAGAGUGUUCAAAGCAGGCUUACGCCGUUGAAUAUAUUAGCAUGGAAUAAUGACAUAGGACUUUUGUACUAUUUUGUUGGUUUGCGAGCAAAAGUAAUGAUUAACAGGGACAGUUGGGGGUAUUUGUAUUCCAUUGUCAGAGGUGAAAUUCUUGGAUUUUUGGAAGACAAACUACUGCGAAAGCAUUUACCAAAGAUGUUUUCAUUAAUCAAGAACGAAAGUUAGGGGAUCGAAGAUGAUUAGAUACCAUCGUAGUCUUAACCAUAAACUAUGCCCACUAGGGAUCGGCCGAACUGUAUUACACACUCCGUCGGCACCUUAUGAGAAAACAAAAUCUUUGGGUUCCGGGGGGAGUAUGGUCGCAAGGCUGAAACUUAAAGAAAUUGACGGAAGGGCACCACCAGGA